Molecule: Y RNA, 95 nt
Filed under: Propithecus coquereli (Coquerel's sifaka)
Lineage: Eukaryota; Metazoa; Chordata; Mammalia; Primates; Indriidae
Description: Y RNA (ENSPCOG00000003263.1)
Rfam family: Y RNA
About the family: Y RNAs are components of the Ro ribonucleoprotein particle (Ro RNP), in association with Ro60 and La proteins. The Y RNAs and Ro60 and La proteins are well conserved, but the function of the Ro RNP is not known.
Source: Rfam by way of RNAcentral
GGCUGGUCCGAUGGUAGUGGGUUAUCAGAACUUACUAACAUUAGUGUCACUAAAGUUGGUAUAUAACCCCCCACUGCUAAAUUUGACAGACUAGA